UGGGGAAUAUUGGACAAUGGGCGAAAGCCUGAUCCAGCCAUGCCGCGUGUGUGAAGAAGGUCUUCGGAUUGUAAAGCACUUUAAGUUGGGAGGAAGGGCAUUAACCUAAUACGUUAGUGUUUUGACGUUACCGACAGAAUAAGCACCGGCUAACUCUGUGCCAGCAGCCGCGGUAAUACAGAGGGUGCAAGCGUUAAUCGGAAUUACUGGGCGUAAAGCGCGCGUAGGUGGUUUGUUAAGUUGGAUGUGAAAUCCCCGGGCUCAACCUGGGAACUGCAUUCAAAACUGACUGACUAGAGUAUGGUAGAGGGUGGUGGAAUUUCCUGUGUAGCGGUGAAAUGCGUAGAUAUAGGAAGGAACACCAGUGGCGAAGGCGACCACCUGGACUAAUACUGACACUGAGGUGCGAAAACGUGGGGAGCAAACA
RNAcentral lists this ribosomal RNA (427 nucleotides) under uncultured bacterium. RNAcentral's name for it is "partial 16S ribosomal RNA". It matches the Rfam family "Bacterial small subunit ribosomal RNA", at positions 355 to 774 of the family's 1533-position model. The record is from RNAcentral.